RNAcentral lists this long non-coding RNA (1657 nucleotides) under Nicotiana tabacum (common tobacco). RNAcentral describes it as "long non-coding RNA (NTAB_LNC002434)". Lineage: Eukaryota; Viridiplantae; Streptophyta; Magnoliopsida; Solanales; Solanaceae. The record is from RNAcentral.
UUGAAUAAUCUGAUCCAAUUUUAAGCUUCAAUUCAUUUCAUUGCUUGAAAUCAAAAACUUGGAAAGACUUGGCAUUUUAAAGACUUAGCAAAAUGUUGCUUUCUGCCAAAACAACAAAAUCCCAUUCUCCCUUCCAUUACAAGUACAAACAGUAGAUGGGUUAGUAGGAGAUUUUGUUCAAUCCAUUCCAAGACAACAUGAAAGGUUAGAAGAUUGAUUUUCUUGAUUUGGACAAAAGGGACUAACGUCCCAAAAAUUUAGCCAAGCAGAAACAAUUUUGUUUCAGUUUUAUAGAUUCCAAGCAACAAUUUCGUUCAAAUUCAAAGAAGCAGAAGCUUCGUUUCGUGCAAAUAAUUCAAGGAAUAGGUAUGUUAAGGUCUCCCUUCUUUCUUUUGGCAUGGUCCAAGCUAUACUGAAGAAACGAGCAAAUACGCAGUUUCUAUAAAUUACUCUAUUUAUAGAAAUAGUAGGGGUGUCUAUAUUCUUGAUUCCCCACGUAUUAUUAUCUUUUGUUUAUGGGUCUCAGAAUAAUACACAGUUGGAAAAGUUUAUCCAGAAGGAAUAUUGAGAUUGUUUUACGUAUUUUUCAUGCAUUUCACUCAUUUAUACAUGUGCAUUGACCCAUGACCAGAUGGUGCUAUAUACGUGUAUAUAUGUAAAUAUAUGUAUAUGGGAUAUGGGAAAAGGUUACGUCGUUAUAUACGCAUCACCACCUAAUCAGCUGGUAUAUGUUGAUGAUGUUGCCCACAGUGGCCGAGAUGAUAUGAUGGGAUGCCCUCAGUGGCUUGAUGAUAUUAUGUACACCCAUACUUAUGCAUGGAACGACAUUUAUACGCACGUGCAUGACAUUAUAAACGUUUUAGAAUUUAUAAAGUUAUUUAGAUUUAAAGAUGUGUUUCCUUAUUCCAUGUUUCAUCUAUGUCUUUUACGUACUAAUUUUUAUGACUUACAUACUCAGUACAUUUUUCGUACUGAUACUCUAUUUCACGGGGCCUGCAUUUCAUGCCCGCAAGUGCAGGUUGGCAAGCUGGCGAUCCCCCUUCUUAGGAUUCUUGAUCAGCGAGAGUUGGCGUGCUCCACUUGAUCCGGAGCUAUUUUUGUUUUGGUACGAUAUGUUUGUAUAUAUGUAUGUAUAUGGGUAUGACGUGGCUCAAUCCUGUCUUUGUACAGUUAUGUUUCUGUUAGAGGUCUAUGUACAGUAUAUCUAGUUAGGUUGUAUGUGGCUUUGUCGGCUUUCAGGUUUGGAUGUAUAGUUGUCUAUAGCAGCCUUGCCGGCUCGCCCACUAUAUUCUGCAUGUAUACGUACAUAUGUCUUGAUGUCAGGUUUCCUUUACGUAUGUUAUUUUCAUAAUGUAACAGAUGUUAUUCAGGUUCAUAUCUUAGACGCAUGCUUAGGGGUGUUUGACAGGUAGGACUCAGGCACCCGUCGUGGCUCAUCGGUUUGGGUCGUAACAAAAGUGUUAUCAGAGCAUUUCUAUCUUAGGGUUGUCCACAGACCGUGUCUAGUAGAGUCUUGUUUAUGGGUGUCGUGCACUACACUUAUAAACAGAAGGCUACAAGACAUAUAGGAUGUUAUCCUCUCUUUUUAUCUCAGAUCGUGUGAUACAAGAAUUCAUGUUCCUAACGAUACGUUUGUUACACCUUCUUUUUUACCUAC